This 388-nucleotide ribosomal RNA is filed under the name uncultured soil bacterium. RNAcentral describes it as "bacterial SSU rRNA". It matches the Rfam family "Bacterial small subunit ribosomal RNA", at positions 26 to 422 of the family's 1533-position model. The record is from RNAcentral.
AGGACGAACGCUGGCGGCGUGCUUAACACAUGCAAGUCGAGCGGAAAGGCCCUUCGGGGUACUCGAGCGGCGAACGGGUGAGUAACACGUGAGUAACCUGCCCUGGACUUUGGGAUAACCCUCGGAAACGGGGGCUAAUACCGGAUAUGACUUCUGCCGGCAUCGGUGGUUGUGGAAAGUUUUUCGGUCUGGGAUGGGCUCGCGGCCUAUCAGCUUGUUGGUGGGUGAUGGCCUACCAAGGCGACGACGGGUAGCCGGCCUGAGAGGGCGACCGGCCACACUGGGACUGAGACACGGCCCAGACUCCUACGGGAGGCAGCAGUGGGGAAUUUUGGACAAUGGGGCAACCCUGAUCCAGCAAUACCGCGUGUGUGAAGAGGCCUUCGGG